AUGAGUUGGGCCCUCCUACAAACUUGCCUGCUGGCCAAUCUGAUGGAGGUAAGCAGAGCAUCUCCCUCCUGCCUACUGAACAAGGUGGCUGCCUGCACUUCACAGUUGUGUUCCAGUCCUCUGCCAAAUGGGAGCAUCUUGCCUGGGAAGCUAUGCUCCCCUUCUCAAACAAGACCUUGACUGGGGCGUGCUGGCCACAAAAGCCUGGUGCCCUAUGCUUCAAGGUGGGACUAACUCAGGUGCGGUGCAAGCAUUGGUUUGGCCGGAAGUGGAUUCUAUCAGUUGGCGCUCACAUGGAGCACUUCAUAGCUUCUCUCUGGUAUGUGCCUCACUUUCGUCACUAUUCUUACUAUGACAAUGGAUCGGAAAACCUCGGGGACUGCUAAGGGAGCCAGAGGCACACAGUGUGGACAUGCUGAACAAGGGGAUGACUCACAUCCUACGCAAGACGUGACAGGGCAGCGUGGAAUGUCAUCACCCUCCUCAGAACAGUGCGCAUUUAGACCCCCAUGACUUGCUUUCCUGGAACUUCCCACAUGAUGUUUUCAAGCCAUGGCUGACCACAGCAGCUGACACUGUAGGUGAAGAAGACAAUAACAAUACAGGGGAAGGGGUGGGGAUGGAACUGAGGCAUGAGGAAGCGAGAGCAGAGGGAAAUGCAGAGCUGCGUCAGGGAAUAAACCACAAAUGGUAACAAUCAGAAGAAGAAAAAAAAAGCCUCUGUGUGUUCCGUUUUUGUCUCCUUUUGAAAGACAUAAGUCAAAUAAAGUAACUUUUAC
Molecule: long non-coding RNA, 779 nt
Filed under: Cricetulus griseus (Chinese hamster)
Lineage: Eukaryota; Metazoa; Chordata; Mammalia; Rodentia; Cricetidae
Description: lncRNA (ENSCGRG00015033976.1)
Source: RNAcentral